GGAGACAUAGGGAGGGAUCCCAAUACAGCCUUAGGAAAAGAAACCUGCCACAGGAGUCUUGGAGAUUGGCAACCAUCCUAAUGCCUUA
Molecule: non-coding RNA, 88 nt
Organism: Equus caballus (horse)
Lineage: Eukaryota; Metazoa; Chordata; Mammalia; Perissodactyla; Equidae
Source: Rfam